Molecule: ribosomal RNA, 257 nt
Filed under: uncultured bacterium
Lineage: Bacteria
Description: partial 16S ribosomal RNA
Rfam family: Bacterial small subunit ribosomal RNA
Source: RNAcentral
UACGUAGGGUGCGAGCGUUGUCCGGAAUUAUUGGGCGUAAAGGGUGCGUAGGCGGUUUGAUAAGUCUGAUGUGAAAUCUAUGGGCUCAACCCAUAGCCUGCAUUAGAAACUGUCGGGCUUGAGUAUGGGAGAGGUGAGUGGAAUUUCCGGUGUAGCGGUGAAAUGCGUAGAUAUCGGAAGGAACACCUGUGGCGAAAAGCGGCUCACUGGACCAUUACUGACGCUGAUGCACGAAAAGCUAGGGGGAGCAAAACAGG